This is a non-coding RNA of Pelobates cultripes (western spadefoot toad), 216 nucleotides long. NCBI's taxonomy places the organism in Eukaryota, Metazoa, Chordata, Amphibia, Anura, Pelobatidae. The record is from the annotation of a GenBank genome assembly.
AAGUAAGGCAGCAAUUGCCCAGGCAGCAAUGAAGAGGCAGCAAUAGACCAGAGCACCCAUCUUGCAAAGACUUCUUGUUUAGUUGCAUUGUGAAGUGUGUGAUUGGACAGCAACAGAAAGUCUGGGCCGGAUGAAAGGGGAAGGUAUGCAGAGGCAACACACAAGAGAACAACAGGUUUUGCAAGCUGUUUUUAGAUAUAGCCCAAAUGAAAAAAU